Molecule: ribosomal RNA, 253 nt
Filed under: uncultured bacterium
Lineage: Bacteria
Description: partial 16S ribosomal RNA
Rfam family: Bacterial small subunit ribosomal RNA
Source: RNAcentral
UACGGAGGGGGCUAGCGUUGUUCGGAAUUACUGGGCGUAAAGCGCGCGCAGGCGGUUUUUUAAGUCAGUGGUGAAAUACGGCAGCUCAACUGUCGAGGUGCCAUUGAUACUGGGAAACUUGAGUACUGAUGAGGUAGGCGGAAUGGACGGUGUAGCGGUGAAAUGCUUAGAUAUCGUCCAGAACACCGAUAGCGAAGGCAGCUUACUAAGGAGUAACUGACGCUGAGGCACGAAAGUGUGGGGAUCAAACAGG